RNAcentral lists this ribosomal RNA (292 nucleotides) under uncultured Sphingopyxis sp. Its description in RNAcentral is "partial 16S ribosomal RNA". It matches the Rfam family "Bacterial small subunit ribosomal RNA", at positions 505 to 796 of the family's 1533-position model. Lineage: Bacteria; Pseudomonadati; Pseudomonadota; Alphaproteobacteria; Sphingomonadales; Sphingopyxidaceae. The record is from RNAcentral.
GUGUCAGCCGCCGCGGUAAUACGGAGGGAGCUAGCGUUGUUCGGAAUUACUGGGCGUAAAGAGUACGUAGGCGGUGAUUCAAGUCAGAGGUGAAAGCCUGGAGCUCAACUCCAGAACUGCCUUUGAAACUAGAUCGCUAGAAUUAUGGAGAGGUUAGUGGAAUUCCGAGUGUAGAGGUGAAAUUCGUAGAUAUUCGGAAGAACACCAGUGACGAAGGCGACUAACUGGACAUAUAUUGACGCUGAGGUACGAAAGCGUGGGGAGCAAACAGGAUUAGAUACCCCCGUAGUCC